CUUAAUCUUUGAGACAAGCAUAUGACUACUGGCAGGAUCAACCAGGUAGCAUUCCUCAACGACGUCCUCACCGCACGGCCGGGCCGAGACGGGAGCGACGGUCGUGCACCGUUGGUGUCUAAUGCAUGCUCGGGCAACAAUAAGAGGCCGUGUGACCUCAAUGCCCUCAUGCUUUCCGUAUCUGAGAGCUCGAGCGAUGCCCCGAUCACCACGACGGCAUAGACGUGACGCGGGUAAUGGGCCAUGCUUCGAGUUUCGUCUCGUGACCCGCCAACCAAGCAGCGGACCGCUAAACAAACGAGGGACGGUUGGACAAACUAAUGCCAUCGUGUAGGUACGCAACACAGGAAACUGGGGUCAAGGCCAAAGCUUUGCUGCACUUGGGCCAAAACUGAGGAGUCGUGAGGGGCACGUGUCGCUGCCAAGCAGGGAUCCGACGUA
Molecule: unclassified non-coding RNA, 441 nt
Filed under: Hoya spartioides
Lineage: Eukaryota; Viridiplantae; Streptophyta; Magnoliopsida; Gentianales; Apocynaceae
Description: partial miscellaneous RNA
Source: RNAcentral